This 734-nucleotide ribosomal RNA is filed under the name uncultured Acidobacteriota bacterium. Its description in RNAcentral is "bacterial SSU rRNA". It matches the Rfam family "Bacterial small subunit ribosomal RNA", at positions 58 to 774 of the family's 1533-position model. Lineage: Bacteria; Pseudomonadati; Acidobacteriota. The record is from RNAcentral.
CAAGUCGAGCGCGAAAGGGGGGUAACUCCCGAGUAGAGCGGCAAACGGGUGAGUAACGCGUGGGUGAUCUACCUUCGAGUGGGGAACAACACCGGGAAACUGGUGCUGAUACCGCAUGACAUCCCCGGGUCGCACCGGGGAUCAAAGCUGGGGACCGAAAGGCCUUGGCGCUUGAAGACGAGCCCGCGUCCGAUUAGCUAGUUGGCGGGGUAACGGCCCACCAAGGCGACGAUCGGUAGCCGGCCUGAGAGGGCGGACGGCCACACUGGGACUGCGACACGGCCCAGACUCCUACGGGAGGCAGCAGUGGGGAAUUUUUCGCAAUGGGCGCAAGCCUGACGAAGCAACGCCGCGUGGAGGAUGAAGGCCUUCGGGUCGUAAACUCCUGUCGACCGGGACGAAUGCGCCCGACCUAAUACGUCGGUGUGUUGACUGUACCGGUGGAGGAAGCCACGGCUAACUCUGUGCCAGCAGCCGCGGUAAUACAGAGGUGGCAAGCGUUGUUCGGAAUUACUGGGCGUAAAGGGCGCGUAGGCGGCCCGCCAAGUCCCGUGUGAAAGCCCCCGGCUCAACUGGGGAACGGCGCGGGAAACUAGCAGGCUUGAGUUCGGGAGAGGGAAGCGGAAUUCCGGGUGUAGCGGUGAAAUGCGCAGAUAUCCGGAGGAACACCGGUGGCGAAGGCGGCUUCCUGGACCGACACUGAGGCUGAGGCGCGAAAGCUAGGGGAGCAAACG